UACGACUACAUAUCAGGCAUAUCAAUAAGCGGAGGAAAAGAAACUAACAAGGAUUCCCUUAGUAACGGCGAGUGAAGCGGGAAGAGCUCAAAUUUGAAAUCUUCAAGGUUUUACCUUGACGAAUUGUAGUUUAAAGAAGUGUUUUCUGUUGGAAGUUUUGGUAAAAGUUCUUUGGAAUAGGACAUCAUAGAGGGUGAGAAUCCCGUAUUUGACCAUUACUUUCAGCUGUGUGAUACACUUUCAAAGAGUCGGAUUGUUUGGGAAUGCAGUCCAAAAUGGGUGGUAAGUUUCAUCUAAAGCUAAAUAUUGGCGAGAGACCGAUAGCGAACAAGUACCGUGAGGGAAAGAUGAAAAGAACUUUGAAAAGAGAGUUAAACAGUACGUGAAAUUGUCAAAAGGGAAGCGUUUGACACCAGUGUUGUUUUCUCGGAAAUCAAUUAAAAAAAGUUGGAUUUUGUGUUGUAUUGACCUUAACAGCUUGCUUCACUCUUUUCCAGCUUUUUUUAAUGCACUUUUCCGUUUAACAAGUCAACAUCAGUUUCUUUUGUUGUAAAAGGGUCAUUGGAAGGUGGCUUUCCCUUCGGAGAAAGUGUUUAUAGCCUUUGAUCUCUGCAAUCGGAGAGACUGAGGUCUGCAGCGUAGAUCCUUCGGGGUUAGAUACAUUUGUGCUAAGCUACAGCUUUUCAUAGACAACUUGUUGACUAUGUUUAGUCUUGUGACUUACCCGCUUAUGCUAUUUUACCUACGCUUAGGAUGUUGAGCGCAUGUCUCUCUCU
This 776-nucleotide ribosomal RNA is filed under the name uncultured Neocallimastigales. RNAcentral's name for it is "partial large subunit ribosomal RNA". It matches the Rfam family "Eukaryotic large subunit ribosomal RNA", at positions 24 to 616 of the family's 3401-position model. Lineage: Eukaryota; Fungi; Neocallimastigomycota; Neocallimastigomycetes; Neocallimastigales. The record is from RNAcentral.